Molecule: ribosomal RNA, 289 nt
Filed under: uncultured bacterium
Lineage: Bacteria
Description: partial 16S ribosomal RNA
Rfam family: Bacterial small subunit ribosomal RNA
Source: RNAcentral
GUGGAUUAGAUACCCUAGUAGUCCACGCCCUAAACGAUGUCUACUAGUUGUCGGGUUUUAAUUAACUUGGUAACGCAGCUAACGCGUGAAGUAGACCGCCUGGGGAGUACGGUCGCAAGAUUAAAACUCAAAGGAAUUGACGGGGACCCGCACAAGCGGUGGAUGAUGUGGAUUAAUUCGAUGCAACGCGAAAAACCUUACCUACCCUUGACAUGCCAGGAAGUCUUGAGAGAUCAGGAUGUGCCCGAAAGGGAACCUGAACACAGGUGCUGCACGGCUGUCGUCAACU